CACGGCGCUGGUCCGGGCGGUCACGUCGGUGCUCGCCGAGCACCCCGGCGAGCGGUUCUACGCCGCCGCGCUGUGGC
This 77-nucleotide transfer RNA is filed under the name Actinoplanes philippinensis. RNAcentral describes it as "tRNA-Gly". The record is from RNAcentral. Lineage: Bacteria; Bacillati; Actinomycetota; Actinomycetes; Micromonosporales; Micromonosporaceae.